CUCGCUGUGAAGAUGCAGUGUACCCGCGGCAAGACGGAAAGACCCCGUGAACCUUUACUAUAGCUUGACACUGAACAUUGAGCCUUGAUGUGUAGGAUAGGUGGGAGGCUUUGAAGUGUGGACGCCAGUCUGCAUGGAGCCGACCUUGAAAUACCACCCUUUAAUGUUUGAUGUUCUAACGUUGGCCCGUAAUCCGGGUUGCGGACAGUGUCUGGUGGGUAGUUUGACUGGGGCGGUCUCCUCCUAAAGAGUAACGGAGGAGCACGAAGGUUGGCUAAUCCUGGUCGGACAUCAGGAGGUUAGUGCAAUGGCAUAAGCCAGCUUGACUGCGAGCGUGACGGCGCGAGCAGGUGCGAAAGCAGGUCAUAGUGAUCCGGUGGUUCUGAAUGGAAGGGCCAUCGCUCAACGGAUAAAAGGUACUCCGGGGAUAACAGGCUGAUACCGCCCAAGAGUUCAUAUCGACGGCGGUGUUUGGCACCUCGAUGUCGGCUCAUCACAUCCUGGGGCUGAAGUAGGUCCCAAGGGUAUGGCUGUUCGCCAUUUAAAGUGGUACGCGAGCUGGGUUUAGAACGUCGUGAGACAGUUCGGUCCCUAUCUGCCGUGGGCGCUGGAGAACUGAGGGGGGCUGCUCCUAGUACGAGAGGACCGGAGUGGACGCAUCACUGGUGUUCGGGUUGUCAUGCCAAUGGCACUGCCCGGUAGCUAAAUGCGGAAGAGAUAAGUGCUGAAAGCAUCUAAGCACGAAACUUGCCCCGAGAUG
RNAcentral lists this ribosomal RNA (760 nucleotides) under Escherichia coli. RNAcentral describes it as "partial 23S ribosomal RNA". It matches the Rfam family "Bacterial large subunit ribosomal RNA", at positions 2048 to 2806 of the family's 2925-position model. The record is from RNAcentral. Lineage: Bacteria; Pseudomonadati; Pseudomonadota; Gammaproteobacteria; Enterobacterales; Enterobacteriaceae.